RNAcentral lists this long non-coding RNA (524 nucleotides) under Nicotiana benthamiana. Its description in RNAcentral is "long non-coding RNA (NBEN_LNC031541)". Lineage: Eukaryota; Viridiplantae; Streptophyta; Magnoliopsida; Solanales; Solanaceae. The record is from RNAcentral.
AUAAUCUGAAUCAAUAAAUGCACUGAAAGCAAGAUAUAUUAGAAAAAAACUAGUGCUAACACCCACCUUAACACACUCUUUAUAAGGUGAAUCCUUUUUACAAUGAACUGAUAUUAGAUUAGUCCUACCACAUGUUAAGCAUCUUCAACGCAACAACUAAUUUAUUGAGUGAGAUUCGUAUACCAAAAACAGAUAGCCACAAAAGCAAAUUUACCCAAUAGCACCCCCUUAGUAAUGUAAAAUUCACUUCUAUUCUUCAACAUUCACCAACUCGUACUCAACCAAGGAUAAAUUAUUUUCUUCAUUGACCACAAAAUUUGCAGGCUCAGCAGGAUUUACCCAAUAGCACCCCCUUAGUAAUUUAAAAUUCACUUCUAUUCUUCAACAUUCACCAACUCGUACUCAACCAAGGAUAAAUUGUUUUCUUCAUUGACCACAAAAGUCGCAGGCUCAGCAGCCACCUCAACACGACCCCAUUUAUCAACAGCUAGCCUCAUAGACCCCUUAAACAUGUCAAUCUUAGC